Molecule: ribosomal RNA, 222 nt
Filed under: uncultured bacterium
Lineage: Bacteria
Description: partial 16S ribosomal RNA
Source: RNAcentral
GACGAAUAGGACAAGUGUUAUUCUUCGUGAUUGGGCGUAAAGGGUGCGUAGACAGUUUUUUAAACUUUCUUUAGAAAUUCCAUAUUUGUAAUAUGGUAAUAAUUAACAGAUUAUUUUACUAGAGUUUCUUUGAAGUUAGUGGAACUUGACAAAUAUAGUUUUACAUAUAUUGGAUAUUGAAGGGACCACCGAAAGUGUAGACAACUAACUAUGGGAGACUAA